CGAACCUGUGACUCCUGAGUAACCAGCUACAUGGUUGAGGUAGUAAAAAUGUCGAACCUGUGACUCCUGAGUAACCAGCUACAUGGUUGAGGUAGUAAAAAUGUCGAACCUGUGACUCCUGAGUAACCAGCUACAUGAUUGAGGUAGUAAAAAUGUUGAACCUGUGACUCCUGAGUAACCAGCUACAUGGUUGAGGUAGUAAAAAUGUCGAACCUGUGACUCCUGAGUAACCAGCUACAUGGUUGAGGUAGUAAAAUGUUGAACCUGUGACACCUAAGUAACCAACUACAUGGUUGAGGUAGUAAAGUGUUUAACCUGUGACUCCUGAGUAACCAGCAACAUGGUUGAGGUAGUAAAAAUGUUGAACCUGUGACUCCUGAGUAACCAGCUACAUGGUUGAGGUUGUAAAAAUGUUGAUCCUGUGACUCCUGAGUAACCAGCUACAUAGUUGAGGUAGUAAAAAUGUUGAACCUGUAACUCCUGAGUAACCAGCUACAUGGUUGAGGUAGUAAAAUGUUGAACCUGUGACUCCUGAGUAACCAGCUACAUGGUUGAGGUAGUAAAAUGUUGAACCUGUGACUCCUGAGUAACCAGCUACAUGGUUGAGGUAGUAAAAUGUUGAACUUGCCACACCUGAGUAACCAGCUA
Molecule: long non-coding RNA, 648 nt
Organism: Limulus polyphemus (Atlantic horseshoe crab)
Lineage: Eukaryota; Metazoa; Arthropoda; Merostomata; Xiphosura; Limulidae
Exons: 5
Source: RefSeq, a predicted model, not a curated record